RNAcentral lists this non-coding RNA (23 nucleotides) under Arabidopsis thaliana (thale cress). Lineage: Eukaryota; Viridiplantae; Streptophyta; Magnoliopsida; Brassicales; Brassicaceae. The record is from RNAcentral.
GUGGUGAUCCACAUAAGGCCGCC